AGUGAACGCUGGCGGUAGGCCUAACACAUGCAAGUCGAACGGCAGCACAGGAGAGCUUGCUCUCUGGGUGGCGAGUGGCGGACGUGUGAGGAAUACAUCGGAAUCUGCCCAGUCGUGGGGGAUAACGUAGGGAAACUUACGCUAAUACCGCAUACGACCUUCGGGUGAAAGAGGGGGAUCGCAAGACCUCUCGCGAUUGGAUGAGCCGAUGUCGGAUUAGCUAGUUGGCGGGGUAAUGGCCCACCAAGGCGACGAUCCGUAGCUGGUCUGAGAGGAUGAUCAGCCACACUGGAACUGAGACACGGUCCAGACUCCUACGGGAGGCAGCAGUGGGGAAUAUUGGACAAUGGGCGCAAGCCUGAUCCAGCCAUACCGCGUGGGUGAAGAAGGCCUUCGGGUUGUAAAGCCCUUUUGUUGGGAAAGAAAUCUUUCAGGCUAAUACCCUGGGAGGAUGACGGUACCCAAAGAAUAAGCACCGGCUAACUUCGUG
RNAcentral lists this ribosomal RNA (490 nucleotides) under uncultured bacterium. RNAcentral's name for it is "partial 16S ribosomal RNA". It matches the Rfam family "Bacterial small subunit ribosomal RNA", at positions 29 to 507 of the family's 1533-position model. The record is from RNAcentral.